RNAcentral lists this transfer RNA (72 nucleotides) under Camelus bactrianus (Bactrian camel). It matches the Rfam family "tRNA". Rfam says of the family: Transfer RNA (tRNA) molecules are approximately 80 nucleotides in length. Their secondary structure includes four short double-helical elements and three loops (D, anti-codon, and T loops). Further hydrogen bonds mediate the characteristic L-shaped molecular structure. tRNAs have two regions of fundamental functional importance: the anti-codon, which is responsible for specific mRNA codon recognition, and the 3' end, to which the tRNAs corresponding amino acid is attached (by aminoacyl-tRNA synthetases). tRNAs cope with the degeneracy of the genetic code in two manners: having more than one tRNA (with a specific anti-codon) for a particular amino acid; and 'wobble' base-pairing, i.e. permitting non-standard base-pairing at the 3rd anti-codon position. RNAcentral also lists the same sequence under 2 other names. Lineage: Eukaryota; Metazoa; Chordata; Mammalia; Artiodactyla; Camelidae. The record is from Rfam by way of RNAcentral.
GAGGGUAUAGCUCAGUGGUAGAGUGCAUGCCUAGCACACACAGAGUCCUGGGUUCAAUCCCCAGCACCUCCA